Molecule: ribosomal RNA, 468 nt
Filed under: uncultured bacterium
Lineage: Bacteria
Description: partial 16S ribosomal RNA
Rfam family: Bacterial small subunit ribosomal RNA
Source: RNAcentral
GACGAACGCUGGCGGCGUGCUUAACACAUGCAAGUCGAACGGAAAGGCCCUGCUUUUGUGGGGUGCUCGAGUGGCGAACGGGUGAGUAACACGUGAGUAACCUGCCCUUGACUUUGGGAUAACUUCAGGAAACUGGGGCUAAUACCGGAUAGGAGCUCCUGCUGCAUGGUGGGGGUUGGAAAGUUUCGGCGGUUGGGGAUGGACUAGAGGCUUAUCCGCCUGUUGGUGGGGUAGUGGCUUACCAAGGGUUCGACGGGUAGCCGGCCUGAGCGGGUGACCGGCCACAAUGGGACUGAGAUACGGCCCAGACUCCUACGGGAGGCAGCAGUGGGGAAUAUGGCACAAUGGGCGGAAGCCUGAGGCAGCAGCGCCGCGUGCGGGAUGACGGCCUUCGGGUUGUAAACCGCUGUCGCCUGUGACGAAGCGUGAGUGACGGUAAUGGGUAAAGAAGCACCGGCUAACUACGUG